This 492-nucleotide ribosomal RNA is filed under the name uncultured bacterium. Its description in RNAcentral is "partial 16S ribosomal RNA". It matches the Rfam family "Bacterial small subunit ribosomal RNA", at positions 29 to 507 of the family's 1533-position model. The record is from RNAcentral.
AGUGAACGCUGGCGGUAGGCCUAACACAUGCAAGUCGAACGGCAGCACAGUAAGAGCUUGCUCUUACGGGUGGCGAGUGGCGGACGGGUGAGGAAUACAUCGGAAUCUACUUUUUCGUGGGGGAUAACGUAGGGAAACUUACGCUAAUACCGCAUACGACCUACGGGUGAAAGCAGGGGAUCUUCGGACCUUGCGCGAUUGAAUGAGCCGAUGUCGGAUUAGCUAGUUGGCGGGGUAAAGGCCCACCAAGGCGACGAUCCGUAGCUGGUCUGAGAGGAUGAUCAGCCACACUGGAACUGAGACACGGUCCAGACUCCUACGGGAGGCAGCAGUGGGGAAUAUUGGACAAAGGGCGCAAGCCUGAUCCAGCCAUACCGCGUGGGUGAAGAAGGCCUUCGAGUUGUAAAGCCCUUUUGUUGGGAAAGAAAAGCAGCAGGUUAAUACCCCGCUGUUCUGACGGUACCCAAAGAAUAAGCACCGGCUAACUUCGUG